AUUGAACGCUGGCGGCAGGCCUAACACAUGCAAGUCGAGCGGAUGAAGGGAGCUUGCUCCUGGAUUCAGCGGCGGACGGGUGAGUAAUGCCUAGGAAUCUGCCUGGUAGUGGGGGAUAACGUCCGUGAACGGGCGCUAAUACCGCAUACGACCUGAGGGAGAAAGUGGGGGAUCUUCGGACCUCACGCUAUCAGAUGAGCCUAGGUCGGAUUAGCUAGUUGGUGGGGUAAAGGCCUACCAAGGCGACGAUCCGUAACUGGUCUGAGAGGAUGAUCAGUCACACUGGAACUGAGACACGGUCCAGACUCCUACGGGAGGCAGCAGUGGGGAAUAUUGGACAAUGGGCGAAAGCCUGAUCCAGCCAUGCCGCGUGUGUGAAGAAGGUCUUCGGAUUGUAAAGCACUUUAAGUUGGGAGGAAGGGCAGUAAGUUAAUACCUUGCUGUUUUGACGUUACCAACAGAAUAAGCACCGGCUAACUUCGUG
This 484-nucleotide ribosomal RNA is filed under the name uncultured bacterium. Its description in RNAcentral is "partial 16S ribosomal RNA". It matches the Rfam family "Bacterial small subunit ribosomal RNA", at positions 30 to 507 of the family's 1533-position model. The record is from RNAcentral.